Molecule: ribosomal RNA, 814 nt
Filed under: uncultured organism
Description: bacterial SSU rRNA
Rfam family: Bacterial small subunit ribosomal RNA
Source: RNAcentral
GUAUGGGGCAAGCGUUGUCCGGAUUUACUGGGCGUAAAGGGCGCGUAGGCGGUUUGUUAAGUCGAAGGUGAAAUCCUCGGGCUCAACUCGAGAAUUGCCUUCGAUACUGGCAAACUAGAGUGGCGGAGAGGAAAGCGGAACUCUUGGUGUAACGGUGGAAUGUGUAGAUAUCAAGAGGAACACCGGUGGCGAAGGCGGCUUUCUGGACGCACACUGACGCUCAGGCGCGAAAGCGUGGGUAGCAAACAGGAUUAGAUACCCUGGUAGUCCACGCCAUAAACGAUGGGUACUAGGUGUCGGGGGUAUCGACCCCUCCGGUGCCGCAGUUAACGCACUAAGUACCCCGCCUGGGGAUUAUGGUCGCAAGGCUGAAACUCAAAGGAAUUGACGGGGCCCCGCACAAGCGGUGGAGCAUGUGGUUUAAUUCGACGCAACGCGAAGAACCUUACCUGGGCUUGACAUGCUUGGGACAGCGCUGGAAACAGCGUCUCUCCUUCGGGAGCCCUUGCACAGGUGCUGCAUGGCUGUCGUCAGCUCGUGUCGUGAGAUGUUGGGUUAAGUCCCGCAACGAGCGCAACCUUCGUUACUAGUUGCCAUCAGUUCGGCUGGGCACUCUAGUGAGACUGCCGGUGAUAAACCGGAGGAAGGUGAGGAUGAUGUCAAGUCAUCAUGGCCCUUACGCCCAGGGCUACACACGUGCUACAAUGGUCGGCACAAAGGGUCGCUAAGCCGCGAGGUGGAGCUAAUCCCAAAAAGCCGGCCUCAGUUCGGAUUGGAGUCUGCAACCCGACUCCAUGAAGGCGGAAUCGCUAGU